CCUACGGGAGGCAGCAGUGGGGGAUAUUGGACAAUGGGGGAAACCCUGAUCCAGCGAUGCCGCGUGAGGGAAGAAGGUUUUCGGAUUGUAAACCUCUGUGGAGGGGGACGAUAAUGACGGUACCCCUUAGGAAGCCACGGCUAACUACGUUCCAGCAGCCGCGGUAAUACGUAGGUGGCGAGCGUUAUCCGGAUUUAUUGGGUUUAAAGGGUGCGUAGGCGGACUGUUAAGGCAGCGGUAAAAGCCCGGGGCUCAACCCCGGCGAGCCGUUGAAACUGGCUGUCUUGAGAUGUCGAGAGGUAUGCGGAAUGCGCAGUGUAGCGGUGAAAUGCUUAGAUAUUGCGCAGAACUCCGAUUGCGAAGGCAGCAUACCGGCGGCGAUCUGACGCUGAGGCACGAAAGCGUGGGUAUCGAACAGGAUUAGAUACCCUAGUAGUC
Molecule: ribosomal RNA, 438 nt
Filed under: uncultured bacterium
Lineage: Bacteria
Description: partial 16S ribosomal RNA
Rfam family: Bacterial small subunit ribosomal RNA
Source: RNAcentral